CUCCGCUCACAAAGUGGUUGGUAUAUGUUGUAUUCAUUUGAUUUAUCAUAUCACAGCCAGCUUUGAUGAGUGGGUC
This 76-nucleotide microRNA precursor is filed under the name Pediculus humanus corporis (human body louse). RNAcentral describes it as "microRNA, putative". It matches the Rfam family "mir-2 microRNA precursor family". Rfam says of the family: The miRNAs are transcribed as ~70nt precursors (modelled here) and subsequently processed by the Dicer enzyme to give a ~22nt product. In this case the mature sequence comes from the 3' arm of the precursor. The extents of the hairpin precursors are not generally known and are estimated based on hairpin prediction. Lineage: Eukaryota; Metazoa; Arthropoda; Insecta; Psocodea; Pediculidae. The record is from RNAcentral.